CGGACGGGUGAGUAACACGUGGAUAACCUACCUAUAAGACUGGGAUAACUUCGGGAAACCGGAGCUAAUACCGGAUAAUAUUUUGAACCGCAUGGUUCAAAAGUGAAAGACGGUCUUGCUGUCACUUAUAGAUGGAUCCGCGCUGCAUUAGCUAGUUGGUAAGGUAACGGCUUACCAAGGCAACGAUGCAUAGCCGACCUGAGAGGGUGAUCGGCCACACUGGAACUGAGGCACGGUCCAG
RNAcentral lists this ribosomal RNA (241 nucleotides) under uncultured Staphylococcus sp. RNAcentral describes it as "partial 16S ribosomal RNA". It matches the Rfam family "Bacterial small subunit ribosomal RNA", at positions 99 to 334 of the family's 1533-position model. The record is from RNAcentral. Lineage: Bacteria; Bacillati; Bacillota; Bacilli; Caryophanales; Staphylococcaceae.